This 460-nucleotide ribosomal RNA is filed under the name uncultured bacterium. RNAcentral describes it as "partial 16S ribosomal RNA". It matches the Rfam family "Bacterial small subunit ribosomal RNA", at positions 338 to 795 of the family's 1533-position model. The record is from RNAcentral.
CCUACGGGUGGCAGCAGUGAGGAAUAUUGGUCAAUGGACGAGAGUCUGAACCAGCCAAGUAGCGUGAAGGAUGACUGCCCUCUGGGUUGUAAACUUCUUUUAUAUGGGAAUAAAAUGUUCCACGUGUGGGAUUUUGUAUGUACCAUAUGAAUAAGGAUCGGCUAAAUCCGUGCCAGCAGCCGCGGUAAUACGGAGGGUCCGAGCGUUAUCCGGAUUUAUUGGGUUUCAAGGGAGCGUAGGUGGAUUGUUAAGUCCAUAGUGAAAGUUUGAGGCUCAACCGUAAAAUUGCAGUUGAAACUGGCAGUCUUGAGUACAGUAGAGGUGGGCGGAAUUCGUGGUGUAGCGGUGAAAUGCUUAGAUAUCACGAAGAACUCCGAUUGCGAAGGCAGUUCACUGGACUGCAACUGACACUGAGGCUCGAAAGUGUGGGUAUCAAACAGGAUUAGAUACCCCAGUAGUC